UACCCAGAAAGUUAACCUAUUUGUGGAGAGC
This 31-nucleotide non-coding RNA is filed under the name Rattus norvegicus (Norway rat). Lineage: Eukaryota; Metazoa; Chordata; Mammalia; Rodentia; Muridae. The record is from RNAcentral.